This 443-nucleotide ribosomal RNA is filed under the name uncultured bacterium. RNAcentral's name for it is "partial 16S ribosomal RNA". It matches the Rfam family "Bacterial small subunit ribosomal RNA", at positions 338 to 795 of the family's 1533-position model. The record is from RNAcentral.
CCUACGGGUGGCAGCAGUGGGGAAUAUUGCACAAUGGGCGCAAGCCUGAUCCAGCAACGCCGCGUGAAGGAAGACGGUUUUCGGAUUGUAAACUUCUAUCAUUAGGGAAGAAAGAAAUGACGGUACUUAAAUAAUAAGCCCCGGCUAACUACGUGCCAGCAGCCGCGGUAAUACGUAGGUGGCAAGCGUUAUCCGGAUUUACUGGGUGUAAAGGGAGAGUAGGCGGCAAGGUAAGCGAUAUGUGAAAGCCAUAGGCUUAACCAAAGGAUUGCAUAAGGAACUAUCUAGCUAGAGUGCAGGAGAGGCAAGCGGAAUUCCGGGUGUAGCGGUGAAAUGCGUAGAUAUUAGGAAGAACACCAGUGGCGAAGGCGGCUUUCUGGACUGAAACUGACGCUGAGGCUCGAAAGCGUGGGGAGCGAACAGGAUUAGAUACCCCAGUAGUC